This is a long non-coding RNA of Papaver somniferum (opium poppy), 2106 nucleotides long. RefSeq lists it as uncharacterized. NCBI's taxonomy places the organism in Eukaryota, Viridiplantae, Streptophyta, Magnoliopsida, Ranunculales, Papaveraceae. The transcript is spliced from 8 exons. The record is from RefSeq and is a predicted model, not a curated record.
AUUUUUUCAUUUCAUUUCUCAACCUCAGAAGGUUUUAGGUUUUUUACUCUCUCUCUCUUUCAUGUCUUCUCGAUCUGCUCUGAAGAAGAGUUUCUGUUCUGAAGAAAUCCAACCAGCUGAAAGCAUCAAUCUGGGUUUUUAGGUCAUCUGUGAGAUUCAGAAGCAUCGAUCUGAUAAUCAGGUGACGCUUCAGAGUUUUAUCAUAGCCAUAAUUGGGCCUUCAGUAGCACUUGUGAUUUCAUGGACAACAACAAUGAGGGCAAUUAUACAAUUGAUCGUGCAAAUACAUCACUCUAGAUGACCCAGAGUUAUACUUAACAACACGAAUAUCUCCUCUCUCUCUAACUUAUUAUGAGUUUUGUUUGCUUAAUGGUAAUUACAUAGUCAAACUCCACUUUGUUGAGAUAAUAUUGAUGCUAAUGUCUCGUAUGGAAGUCUUGGGAGGCGUGUAUUUGACGUCUACGUUUAGGUAACUAGCACCAUCAUUUUGAGAAGUUUUAAUCGUUGGACUAACUUAUGAUAUUCUGUAUAUAACUUGAUAGUUAUUGUAGGGAAAACUAGAGUUGAAAGAUUUUGAUAUUGUGAAAGCAGCGGGUGGGGUUUGAUAAGGUACAUAUUGAAAUUUUACCUGCAGUUGUGACUAGUAAUACCCUGGAAAUUCAGUGAAGCCAAAAGCACCUUUAGUAGUUCUGUUCAUGGUGGUGCUUCUGCUUCUACAAUUGGUGGCAGUGCUAGAAAUAAAUUCCUACCCCAAAAACAACAACAGCAUCACCAUCAGCAACAACACAUCAGUACAGUGUCACAACUUCUUGCUGGUGGAAUUGUAGGAGCUAUCAGUAAAACUUGUACUGCUCCUCUUGCUCGCCUCACCAUUCUCUUUCAGGUUCAAGGUAUGCACACAGAUGUUGCGAAUCUAAACAAGGCUAAUAUGGAGGGAGGCGUCAUGGAUUGUAUCAGAAGAAGGUUUUAGAGCACUCUGUCGCUGCAGUCAAUUCCUGGAUUAGAGAGGCGUAGGGAAAAUGUUACUUCUGAUCUUUUUGUACGAUUGGUGGGUGGAGGGUUGGCAGCGAUAACAACUGCAUCCAUUACUUAUCCACUAGAUCUUGUGAGGACGCGACUUGCGGCACACGUGAGACAUGAGCUGCAGGGGAAUUUUCUUUACCUUCCCGUUAUACAGAUGCCGUUGUGUUUAGACAUUAACUUGUGUGGCUAAAGUUUUCUCAUGUGUUUGGUCAUUUCUUAAACUUUUUUCGUAUCUCCGUGUUAUCUACAUUAGCUCUUUUCCGGUGUAGAAUUAUCAUUUAACUAUUCAGUUCAACUAAUGGCUUUAUACACAUACUUAGGCUCACUACUUUAGUUCUUAACCGAACCAAAGAACUAAAAUCAAAUCAAAGGAUCCCUAAUGGAAAACUCAUCUUUUUUCACCAGGAGCUACAUGUCUGAGGGAUUAUGACAGUGCGGGUUAUUUUCUUCUACUACGGUCUUUGAAUUUUGAUGAUCAGGACCUCACGGAAAGAAGAUAGGUGUUUUGGUGGACAUUAUAGUUGUUUCCGUAUUUUGUUUUGUGUGCAUUAUUUUGGGUGCUCUUUGGUGGAAGGGUUAUUUGGCGAGAAAAAAAUGAGAUCGAUUAAGAUAUGAGUGUCCAGGGGUAGAAGGUUUUAUGGAAUCACAUCUCCGCGCUUUUGGUGAAAGAGAACGCUGGAACGUUGAAGUUUUAUUGCGGAUGUUGACAAAGCUGCUUCCGUUCGUGCACCGAAAGUGAUUGAGACUUGCUCAUUUCCCUCAGCAAUGAGAUCUCUUCUACAUCUUCUGAAACAUGGGGAUUCUUCUCAAUCUCCAUGUUCGAAUUGCAUGCAGGGUAUUUGGGCUCAAGUCAAAAAGCAGUAUUGUGGUGAUAUUUUAGCAGCAGCUGAAUCUGUGUAUAAUUUGCUGAGGAAAUUGGUUAAGCAAGUCUCGUGAUACUUCUGGUGAUAUUUUAGUCUUUCUUUUCAUGUUUUUCAAUGCCUCUGUCAGUUGACACAAACUAGGUUACCCAUCCAUUUAUGAACAUCAAAAAAUAUCAAAUAUUGCAAGUCAGUCACAAAAUUUUAGCUUCAGUAAGUUUAC